CGUGCCUAACACAUGCAAGUCAACUUGACUGAAGGAGCAAUCUGACAGUAGAGUGGCGCAAGGGUGCGUAACGCGUAAGUAACUUGCCCCAAGGUAAGGAAUAACGUCGAGAAAUCGGCGCUAAUACCUCAUAAUGCAGCGGAUCCACAUGGAUAUGUUGUUAAAGGUUAACCGCCUUGGGAUAGGCUUGCGUCUGAUUAGUUAGUUGGUGUGGUAACGGCACACCAAGGCUACGAUCAGUAACUGGUCUGAGAGGAUGAUCAGUCACACUGGAACUGAGACACGGUCCAGACUCCUACGGGAGGCAGCAGUGAGGAAUAUUGGGCAAUGCUCGAAAGAGUGACCCAGCAACGCCGCGUGGAGGAUGAAGGUAUUCUAUAUCGUAAACUCCUGUGAGAGCAGACGAAAGACAGAUUAUUAAUCUGGAUGACUGUAUGCUCAGAGGAAGCCCCGGCUAACUACGUG
RNAcentral lists this ribosomal RNA (465 nucleotides) under uncultured bacterium. RNAcentral's name for it is "bacterial SSU rRNA". It matches the Rfam family "Bacterial small subunit ribosomal RNA", at positions 43 to 507 of the family's 1533-position model. The record is from RNAcentral.